RNAcentral lists this ribosomal RNA (482 nucleotides) under uncultured bacterium. Its description in RNAcentral is "partial 16S ribosomal RNA". It matches the Rfam family "Bacterial small subunit ribosomal RNA", at positions 28 to 507 of the family's 1533-position model. The record is from RNAcentral.
GAUGAACGCUAGCGGCAGGCCUAAUACAUGCAAGUCGGACGGGAUUCAGGAGCUUGCUUCUGAUGAGAGUGGCGCACGGGUGCGUAACACGUAUGUAACCUACCUUUAUCAGGGGGAUAGCCUCUCGAAAGAGAGAUUAAGCCCGCAUAAAAUCACAGCACAGCAUUGUGUAAUGAUCAAAUAUUUAUAGGAUAAAGAUGGGCAUGCGGAACAUUAGCUAGAUGGCGGGGUAACGGCCCACCAUGGCGACGAUGUUUAGGGGAUCUGAGAGGAUGGCCCCCCACACUGGGACUGAGACACGGACCAGACUCGUACGGGAGGCAGCAGUAAGGAAUAUUGGUCAAUGGGCGGAAGCCUGAACCAGCCAUGCCGCGUGCAGGAAGACGGCCCUACGGGUUGUAAACUGCUUUUAUACGGGAAUAAACCCAGAUACGUGUAUCUGGCUGAAUGUACUGUAAGAAUAAGGAUCGGCUAACCCCGUG